RNAcentral lists this ribosomal RNA (253 nucleotides) under uncultured bacterium. Its description in RNAcentral is "partial 16S ribosomal RNA". It matches the Rfam family "Bacterial small subunit ribosomal RNA", at positions 524 to 776 of the family's 1533-position model. The record is from RNAcentral.
UACAGAGGGGGCAAGCGUUGUUCGGAAUUACUGGGCGUAAAGCGCACGUAGGCGGGUCGUUAAGUCAGGGGUGAAAUCCCGGAGCUCAACUCCGGAACUGCCUUUGAUACUGGCGAUCUUGAGAUCGGAAGAGGUGAGUGGAAUUCCCAGUGUAGAGGUGAAAUUCGUAGAUAUUGGGAAGAACACCAGUGGCGAAGGCGGCUCACUGGUCCGAUACUGACGCUGAGGUGCGAAAGCGUGGGGAGCAAACAGG